GCUACGCCCGCCCACCACUCCAAUAUAAGAUGCAGCCAGGUGUCAGUCAUCCACCGGCUGCUUCCUUCACCUUCAUCUGUGAAUAGUAAGUUUGUUUCCUUGAUGUUGUAGUUGUUCAUCCCUCCUGUUUUACGUGCUCUAACACACUGUUCUAUGUUUUAGAAAACCCUGAAGCAACAGGUACUGUAGACUGUUUUUCCAUUUUUGUUACAAUUUGUAUUUAAUGUGUAUAGUUAUAAGAAAUUAUAAUGAGUGUGUUACAUGGUCUAGUCAUGAUCCUUGUCAGGUCUAAAAGCAAGUGAUUAAGUUGAAAAUGUCAAAAUUCAUAAUUUUUUUCCCCCCACAUAGUAUCAAGACGUGCAGGAUGAUCCUGACUGCGGGUAUCUGUUUGAUCGUCACCAGUUUGGCCACCAUCACGACUGCAAGUUCUGGAGUGGUUGAUGGCAAUUACUGUGCUAGAAACAGUGAUGGGUAUUACGCCAACCCAAACGAUGCCACUUGUUACUACAUGUGUUCCUGUGGAGGAACCUUCAACCGAUGCUGCCUGACAGGUUACAUCUUCCAAGAAAGCUCCAGCAAGUGUGUACCAAACCCAAACACAACCCCUGCUCCCACAGCUACAACUACUAGAUCUACAACUACACCGACCACAACUACUACAACUACUCGGUCUACCACAAGCAUUACAACUACUUCAAUCCCUGGUUUCUGCCAGGGGAUGAGUGAUGGAUAUUACGGCAACCCAAACAAUGACACUUGUUACUACAUGUGUUCCUGUGGAGGAACCUUCAACCGAUGCUGCCUGACAGGUUACAACUAUAAAGCUAGUUCCAGCAGCUGUGGGUGACUGUGAAGCAUUUCACAUAGCUUCAUCAAUAACAUAAUAUGUUAAAGUUUCCUAAAUUUAAUUUUUACUCAUAAUGAUUCUCCAUUGUGCUUGAAAAAAGGCUAAAUAACUGCUAUUUUGCGCUUCUAAAUUCCUUCUUUACAAUGAAAAAUCUAUUUACACAGCCAGUCUCUCCAUCAUUGCAACUUGUAUUGACAGUGAAUUGUUUUGUUUGAAUUUGUUUUCAGACAUCCAGCAUGUUGAACAUAAUAAAGGAUUAUUGCAUGAAAUUGUAUUUUGCUUG
This 1130-nucleotide long non-coding RNA is filed under the name Betta splendens (Siamese fighting fish). RNAcentral's name for it is "lncRNA (ENSBSLG00000009633.1)". Lineage: Eukaryota; Metazoa; Chordata; Actinopteri; Anabantiformes; Osphronemidae. The record is from RNAcentral.